This 253-nucleotide ribosomal RNA is filed under the name uncultured bacterium. RNAcentral describes it as "partial 16S ribosomal RNA". It matches the Rfam family "Bacterial small subunit ribosomal RNA", at positions 524 to 776 of the family's 1533-position model. The record is from RNAcentral.
UACGAAGGGGGCUAGCGUUGCUCGGAAUCACUGGGCGUAAAGGGCGCGUAGGCGGCCAUUCAAGUCAGAGGUGAAAGCCCAAGGCUCAACCUUGGAAUUGCCUUUGAUACUGUUUGGCUUGAGACCGGAAGAGGUUAGUGGAACUGCGAGUGUAGAGGUGAAAUUCGUAGAUAUUCGCAAGAACACCAGUGGCGAAGGCGGCUUACUGGUCCGGAUCUGACGCUGAGGCGCGAAAGCGUGGGGAGCAAACAGG